Molecule: unclassified non-coding RNA, 177 nt
Filed under: soil metagenome
Description: partial contains 5.8S ribosomal RNA, internal transcribed spacer 2, and large subunit ribosomal RNA
Source: RNAcentral
AACCUUAUGGACCUGCGGGCGUAUACCUGCGGAGGGAUCAUUAAAAAAAAUGAUGAAUGUCGGGGGGGCGUUUGUUCCCCCGUGUAUUCAACCAACCCGCUCUUGUAUUUGGAUCAACCAAAAAUCUAAAAAGCAAAAAUUAUAAUUAAUAAAAAAUAAACUUUCAACAACGGAUCU